RNAcentral lists this transfer-messenger RNA (355 nucleotides) under Candidatus Gastranaerophilales bacterium. RNAcentral's name for it is "partial transfer-messenger RNA". It matches the Rfam family "transfer-messenger RNA", at positions 1 to 292 of the family's 374-position model. Rfam says of the family: Bacterial tmRNA, also known as 10Sa RNA or SsrA, is named for its dual tRNA and mRNA-like properties. Lineage: Bacteria; Bacillati; Candidatus Melainabacteria; Candidatus Gastranaerophilales. The record is from RNAcentral.
GGGGACGUUCUGGAUUUGACAGGGCGUACUGGUUGACACAGGCUGCGAGCCGGAGCGCUGUUCUCCGUCAUCAACGAGCAAAAAAAUCAAAUGCCAACAACAAUAAUGUUGUAGCUCUCAACUUCAGAAAAGACAACGUAGUUGCUUUUGCUCCUGUAGCAAGAAAAGCUGCUUAGUUUCUGAUUGAGCCACUGGGUAAUCCCCGCCGGCCGGAUUAUCUGGUCCCUUAUGCCGGAAUGCUCUCAGGGGAUGAGGAUAACCUGAGCUAAGACAAUCCUCAAGGUCAGGCAUGACUUAAAAUAUGCUUACUCCAGAUUUAGGGCAGGGUUGACGCCUUGUCUGGAGGACAUCUAAG